CCUACGGGUGGCAGCAGUGAGGAAUAUUGGUCAAUGGACGAGAGUCUGAACCAGCCAAGUAGCGUGAAGGAUGAAGGCCCUAUGGGUCGUAAACUUCUUUUAUAGGGGAAUAAAGUGCGGAACGUGUUCCGCUUUGUAUGUACCCUACGAAUAAGGAUCGGCUAACUCCGUGCCAGCAGCCGCGGUAAUACGGAGGAUCCGAGCGUUAUCCGGAUUUAUUGGGUUUAAAGGGAGCGUAGGUGGACGUAUAAGUCAGUUGUGAAAGUUUGCGGCUCAACCGUAAAAUUGCAGUUGAUACUGUAUGUCUUGAGUGUACAAGAGGUGGGCGGAAUUCGUGGUGUAGCGGUGAAAUGCUUAGAUAUCACGAAGAACUCCGAUUGCGAAGGCAGCUCACUAGAGUACAACUGACACUGAGGCUCGAAAGUGUGGGUAUCAAACAGGAUUAGAUACCCCUGUAGUC
RNAcentral lists this ribosomal RNA (460 nucleotides) under uncultured Bacteroides sp. Its description in RNAcentral is "bacterial SSU rRNA". It matches the Rfam family "Bacterial small subunit ribosomal RNA", at positions 338 to 795 of the family's 1533-position model. Lineage: Bacteria; Pseudomonadati; Bacteroidota; Bacteroidia; Bacteroidales; Bacteroidaceae. The record is from RNAcentral.